RNAcentral lists this ribosomal RNA (460 nucleotides) under uncultured bacterium. Its description in RNAcentral is "partial 16S ribosomal RNA". It matches the Rfam family "Bacterial small subunit ribosomal RNA", at positions 338 to 795 of the family's 1533-position model. The record is from RNAcentral.
CCUACGGGGGGCAGCAGUGAGGAAUAUUGGUCAAUGGCCGUAAGCCUGAACCAGCCAAGUCGCGUGAGGGAUGAAGGCUCUAUGGAUCGUAAACCUCUUUUAUAAGGGAAUAAAGUUCGGGACGUGUGCCGUUUUGUAGGUACCUUAUGAAUAAGGAUCGGCUAACUCCGUGCCAGCAGCCGCGGUAAUACGGAGGAUCCGAGCGUUAUCCGGAUUUAUUGGGUUUAAAGGGUGCGUAGGCGGCUUUUUAAGUCAGCGGUGAAAGUCUGUGGCUCAACCAUGGAAGUGCGGUGGAAACUGGGAGGCUUGAGUGUGUGUGAGGCAGGCGGAAUUCGUGGUGUAGCGGUGAAAUGCUUAGAUAUCACGAAGAACCCCGAUUGCGAAGGCAGCCUGCCAAGCCAUUACUGACGCUGAUGCACGAAAGCGUGGGGAUCAAACAGGAUUAGAUACCCCUGUAGUC